GUCCACGCCGUAAACGAUGUGUGCUAGCUGUCGGGAGUCUUAGGCUUUCGGCGGCGCAGCUAACGCACUAAGCACACCGCCUGGGAAGUACGGCCGCAAGGUUAAAACUCAAAGGAAUUGACGGGGACCCGCACAAGCGGUGGAGCAUGUUGUUUAAUUCGAAGCAACGCGAAGAACCUUACCUACUCUUGUAUCCUCCUUUUGACUUUUCAGAGAUGAUUGUCUUCGGUUCGGCCGGGGAGUGACAGGUGCUGCAUGGCUGUCGU
RNAcentral lists this ribosomal RNA (266 nucleotides) under uncultured bacterium. RNAcentral's name for it is "partial 16S ribosomal RNA". It matches the Rfam family "Bacterial small subunit ribosomal RNA", at positions 793 to 1055 of the family's 1533-position model. The record is from RNAcentral.